RNAcentral lists this ribosomal RNA (496 nucleotides) under uncultured bacterium. Its description in RNAcentral is "partial 16S ribosomal RNA". It matches the Rfam family "Bacterial small subunit ribosomal RNA", at positions 28 to 506 of the family's 1533-position model. The record is from RNAcentral.
GAUGAACGCUGGCGGCGUGCCUAAUACAUGCAAGUCGAGCGAACAGACGAGGAGCUUGCUCCUCUGACGUUAGCGGCGGACGGGUGAGUAACACGUGGAUAACCUACCUAUAAGACUGGGAUAACUUCGGGAAACCGGAGCUAAUACCGGAUAAUAUAUUGAACCGCAUGGUUCAAUAGUGAAAGACGGUUUUGCUGUCACUUAUAGAUGGAUCCGCGCCGCAUUAGCUAGUUGGUAAGGUAACGGCUUACCAAGGCAACGAUGCGUAGCCGACCUGAGAGGGUGAUCGGCCACACUGGAACUGAGACACGGUCCAAACUCCUACGGGAGGCAGCAGUAGGGAAUCUUCCGCAAUGGGCGAACGCCUGACGGAGCAACGCCGCGGGAGUGAUGAAGGUCUUCGGAUCGUAAAACUCUGUUAUUAGGGAAGAACAAAUGUGUAAGUAACUAUGCACGUCUUGACGGUACCUAAUCAGAAAACCACGGCUAACUACGU